RNAcentral lists this long non-coding RNA (14423 nucleotides) under Brachypodium distachyon (stiff brome). RNAcentral's name for it is "long non-coding RNA (BDIS_LNC004513)". The stretch from base 3264 to 3399 matches the Rfam family "MIR1120/MIR1122 microRNA precursor family". Lineage: Eukaryota; Viridiplantae; Streptophyta; Magnoliopsida; Poales; Poaceae. The record is from RNAcentral.
CGCUCCCUUCGUCUGCUUCAAGUGGCCGUGGGACCCCAGCCUCAACGCGAGCCCAAGCCCCAGCCUCAGCCCGCCCAAGCCCAAGCCCCUGCCGGCGACCUCGAGCUCCCCUGGCUCUUCAAGUCCAUCCGCACCGUGGCACAGGGCUUCCUCAUCGCGGGCGACCUCCCUUCCUCCAGCGACGGCGAUGGAUCGAGUUGGCGGAAGCGUAACCCGGGCCAGGUGGCUGUGGCGGCGGACCGCGGGGACGCGGAGCAGCGGGCGCUCGCGGCGGCGCUCGUGAGCGGGAGGCCGGCCACGGUGCUGGAGUUCUACUCGACGCGGUGCCGCCUCUGCGCGUCGCUUCAGGGCCUCGUGCGUGAGCUCGAGGACGGCGCCGGUCGGUGCGUGAGCUUCGUGCUCGCCGACGCCGAGGACGACCGCUGGCUCCCCGAGGUGAGGCGCUUCGCUCUUUAUGGCCUGGGUUUGGGUGUUAAGUUGUCGCAUACAGUGCUUUUGCAACGAUGGAUUAGUAAACAAUAACAUGAAGGUAGAUUAGUCAGAUUUGAGAUUAAUCUCGCCUCGCUGUACUAGUUAAUUUUGGACUGACUUGCUACAAUUGGUAGUGAUCGAUGUACUAGAAAAUUACUUGGUUCUAUGGGACAAUUCUGACCUUGAGAAAGAACUAGAGAAUGAAUCCUUCGUGUGGUUAGAAUUAGCACACACUGGAUGGUUGAAGAAUCAAUUCGGUUACUAUAUCAUCGAACCCAAGAACUAUCAUGUGCUUGCAUUCAGUUUAUUGAACCAUGCAUGACGUGCGUCAAUAAUUUGUUGAACCCUGCAUUCUUCUUUGAAAGGGGACCCUGCAAGUUGAGAAGGAUCUUCUUGCUUUAGGCAUUGCAAUGUCAACCCCUGUUCCACAAACCCAGUCAGUGUUUGAGAUCAGUGAAAUGGGUUCUUACAAUGGCAGCACCGGGUGGAUAUUGGUUUCAGUCAUUAGUGUCUCUUGAUGAAGAAUUUUAUGAUAGCUGAAAUGUAGAUCGGUAGAAGCAAUGAUUUGAUGAACUCAAAACAUGACUUUAGAGUGUCAGGUUACAAGCAAUCAUUUAAAUAUGCUAUCCUGUCCCAUGAGCCUUUGUUCAUGGAGUAAAUAUCAUGCAGAAGGGGGCCCUAGCCCCAUCCAUGCCUUGAAGAAUUUGAGACUCUGGAGUACGGAGAAAUACAGCAUAGAUAACAGAGGACUGAUGAUAAUGAUAUAGAAGGGACUAGGACUUCAUGUCUUGAAGAAUGAGAUACUACUAGAGUAGGGAGAAAUGGACCUUAGAUAACAAAAGCGCUGCAAUGCAAAAAUCACUGAUUGUUUUAGUUGGAUAUAGGGUGUCUGAUCCAAUUACUGAAUAACUCAACUACGAUACAGAGUCUUAGUUCUAACAAACUAUACAUCUAUUAACUCUUUCUAACAUAUUAGUCAUUAAUUAUGGAUUCGACAUGUUUCUGACUUCUGGCCUACCUGGCCAUCAUUGCCGUACAUAUUGUAGCUGACUUGCUGUUGCUGCCACGAUGCUCAUAUUGCCUGGCCCUUUAUCCAUAACAUCCUCUCUUUUUUUCUCAUACAUGCUUGUUCUUCGUCUACUUUAGCAUGGAUCAAGCGGUCCUGAUGUAUUAUGAAUUACUAGUUACUUUAAGUAGCUACUACAGACAUAUGGUGUCUUAAAAAAAAUUGUGCUAAGAUAUGCAUUUGGAAUGUGCUAUUUAGUUCUUACUUCUUAGCACUAGUGGUAUGUUUCUCUCUUUUAUUUUAGGACAGUACUAGUGGUAUCUUUGUCAAUCACACAUAAGUUUUCAAACACAUGGCAACACCAUAGAAACAAGUUCCAGUGCUUGAAAAUAAAUACUUGCAUUGGGAAGAUGGUGAAGUAAGUUUCAAGGACAAGCACAUAACAACUCAGGAUAAGUUACUUGAGGGUUGUAAGGAAAAACCUGCUUGGGGAUGUUUUUUUUGUUUUUAGAAUUGUUUGAUAAUUCUGACCUGCUAAUCAUUUGAAACCUGGGCUGUUGCCAACUUUGGGUUGUAAUUGUGGCAGCAAGUUUCACUGUGCUGUCCAUUUCUAUAGAUACACUGCUAAGAAGUCAUUCUCAGUUUGCCAUUUGGAGGAAAUUGCAGAAGAGUUUGUCGGUUGCUAGAAUUUGUGUUCAUUGAAACUGAACUAAAAAUUGUCCAGCACACCCUAAACCCAUAACCUACGUACUCAAGGUUCGUUUGGAUGGUCUGCCCUCCCCUCAGUGCCUUCUGAUGCUAAGGGAAAUCGAAGAAUUAAAAUCCCUUCUCACCACUCAGCAGAAUGGGAGGGAUUGGGUUUAGACGUUUAGUUUCCACCUUUGAAAACAAGUCAUCAUGCAUGCGAUUGGUAUGAUGACGACUCCAAUUUGCGAAAAUAAGCAGACUAAAGAUGCUAACCUCAUUACCAGUGCUCCAUGCUUGCUUGCAUCUUAGUAUUUGUAUUAUCUUCACAUAUACAUUCUAUUUCAAUUCUGAGAAAGAGAUAGGAUGUUCCCAACAUCUAACAUCAAAAUUAUAUGUUAUCUUUGCAGCUUCUGCAUUAUGAUGUCAGGUAUGUUCCUUGCUUUGUCCUCCUGGACAAGAAUGGUAGAGCUGUAGCGAAGACUGGAGUUCCAACUAGCAGGCAACAUGUUAUCGCAGGCCUUCAUCACCUUCUUGACAUGAAGCAACCAUCUAGGAAGGAAGGAAAGAAGACUUGAUUAUGAUGAGAAUUUAUUGAGCAUGAUCUGUAAUCAUGAAUAAUGUCAGAUGACACAUUUUGUUUGUUUUACCAAGCACUUCGGCGACAAUGGUUGGACUUAUAUUCUUUGGUCAAUUUGUACAUGAUUAGCUUUUGUAGCUAUAUUUUUUUUGUUUUUCUUGCACAAGCACUUCUUUUGCUUGAAUAUACUUCUAAACGCUGAUGUGGUUCGAGAAAUCAGUGUGAGAGAUUGUGAUGUACUGUUUGACACGAUGACACUGAGAGAUUGUGGUGUACUGUUGACACGAUGACACUGCCUAAUUCCUAUGAAAACAUAAUCCAUCAUCACUUGUGCUCUAUUUACUGUUCAUCGCUAGUACUCUAAUUGUGUUGCAUGGCAAGUUCAUAGUCCCUCCUCGUCUUAUAGAUGUGGUCGAAUAUUGUCUUUUUGUGUGACGAUAUAUAUGUGGUUGAAUUUGAUCCGGAAAUUUCACUGAUUAGAAUAUCACCUCUAACUAUGAGUCUAUGAUAUUUUUCAGAAUUACACUACUCCCUCGGUCCAACAAAAGAUGUCUCAAUUUUGACUAAAUUUGAAUGCAUCUAUACAUUAAGUCAUGUCUAGAUAUAUCCAAAUUUUAACAAACUUGAGAAAUCUUUUGUUGGACGGAGGGAGUACAAUUGUUCUACAGGGAAUUUGCUGGAACAGAGUGCUUAAUUAAGGUGCCUCGCAACACGGAGAGUGCUUAAUUAAGGUGCCUCGCAACACGGAAGAAUUAUUCUCUAAGAAAAACACGGAAGAAUUAAGAACGGUAUAGAGAAGAAAAAUAUGGAUUUCGAAGAGAAAUUUGGUUACAAUUAUAAUAGCCACAGAUCAUCGAUCGGACGGACAGGGUGACCCCAAACGGUUAUGCGAGUUGGCCCCUCCGCUGCUCUCGUCACCUCUCCAAACCACUAUGGCGGCGCCGCUCGCCCCCCUAACCGCCGCCUGCCUCGGCUUGCGCCACCGCGUGCUUCCUCCUCGCUUCCCUCCGGCACUACGGCGCUCCACCUGCCCCGCUUUCGGCCCCCACCCUGCGGCGCCGGCUCCUGCCCCCGCCCCCUCGCCACCUCACCCGCUCCGCCCGCCCGUUCGCUGCCUCCGUGGAUGCGGUGCAUGGAUGGAUUGGCUCGAUCGUCCGGGCUGGACCAGCACAACUGACUCGGUCGCUUUGCCAACGCGUGUCGCCCUCGCGACCCGACCCGAAGUACCCAACCACACAACAAGCCAAUCAGCUCCUCACUCUCCUCGGUCCUCACACACACACUCCUCUGCGCCCCGAUCAAGCCCUAGCUCGCAGCUCCGGCCUCCGGACGCCGCCUCCCUUCCCCGGCUCCGGCGCCCACGAGCAGCUCACGCUCCAUCUCUCUCCACUCCCCUCCCCCACGCGCGCGACGCCCGGCUUCCAUCCAUUUCCCUCGAGGUCCGGCAAUGCCGAGGCGGCGGUCGUCGGCUGGGCGGAUGGAUGCCGCCAUAGACCAUUUCACUCCGAUGGGGUACAACAAGGCCCAAGUCCGCAGCGUGGUCAACACCCUCCUCAAGGUUCCCCCACUCCCUUAGCUCCCUUUUCUGCUUCUACGCUGAGAUGCGAGGGUUUUGUUUUGGGUUCGAGAGCCCCGCGGAAUUAUCUCUCAAGGGUCGACGUUUCCUCGGGGCUGGUGCCAAUUCUUACGAUCGUGAUUUCGGCUGGUCUGUUUAGGUGUAUGGGACGGAAGAUGGGAAGCAACCAUGGGCGCUUCUGGAGGACAACUGCUACCAGGUGGUGCAGGACGUGCUCUUCGAGAAGCAGGAGGAGGAGGAGAAGCUGCAGCUGCAGCUGCUUCAGGAGCAGGAGAAGCAGUCGGAGGAGGAGGGUGGAGCUCAGGUGAGCUAAUUCUCUAUUCCCUUUCUUCUUUUUAUCUCACAUGUCCAUGUGUUUGGCCUGGCAGUGUUUCCCAUUGCCAUCAAUUUGCCUGUCUGCUUCCCUGCAGACCAAUAUGUGCAACGCUGUGUUGUUUCUUAGUUGACAAUAAUGCUACUAUCCCAACUACCAUGCAAAGAUCAAAAGAUCCUGCUCAAUGACACUUGUUCAUUUGGUAUUUUAGUGGAUAGUAUAAGAUGAUAAUCUUUAUGAGGUUUUUUUAACUGUUAUAAUCAAUUCUUCAUCUUCUUUGGCUACGAGUAAAGUGAACUGGUUCAUCUUAUACCAUUCCACACGAAUGAAAAUAUCAAUAGAAAAUGAGGAAUAAAUUGUUUCUAUUUUUUUUUUUGCUGGAUCACAUCAUGAGACCAACCAUCCUAUUAUUGAGGUUUCCCUUAGAGCAAGCCUGUCCAUGGUAGCUUACUAGCUUAGUCUUUUCAUGCUUUAGUAUGCAUUUACAAAAAUUGAAGUGGAUACCAACCUUUUAUUUUUGUUAUUUAUAAAGCACCUUUUGCAGGAGGAGCAGCAUGAGGAGGUGGAGGAGGAUGACGAGGCUCUGGUGAGCUCCCUCCCCAUUUACUUUCUUGAUUCGAUGUCCUGCUUUGAUGAAAGAGUAUGAGUGUUUGCCAUUGCUACUCCUGCCAGCUAAUUAAUAUAUGCAAUGCUACCGUGGGCGUGCUUUAUCUAAGUGAUAACCUCAGUUCUUGGAUGGUUGGUCCAUCUGAUGUUAUCAUUGAUUUUUGUAGCAGCAACUUAGUCUUCAUUUUCUGUUGAUAUUGUAGUCAUGUGGAAUUCCAUAACGACAGACCCGUUCUCUAUAUCCUUCACCAAACAAUAUGGGAAGAACAGUUGAGCAUUUCCUUAUAAAUUUCAUCUUCAAUGCUAGCAUCCUAUAUCUUUGACCCAAACUAUUAUCAAACAAAAUACCUUAAAAUUCUGUCCCCUAGAUCUAACAAGUGAUUGUGUAUUUGCACAGUUUGUGCCAUUCUCUCCUAAUUUCUUUGUUUUGGGGAGAUUUACUUGUUGCUGCUUGGCUGCAGAAAGAAGUGAAUUGACUUAUGUCUUUUAUGUUGCCUCUGGGCUGACAUAAUUGACUGAUGAUUUGGAAUUGUACAGUUUUAGCAUUGCACUAUAUGUAGUAUAAUACAACUGCAUCAUGUUGGCUGGAUAUCAGUACUUCUGUAAUUAAAAAAGCAUGCAAAAAUUGUUCUUAGUUGUGAAAAAAUUGAUGUUUAGCUCUAAACCAAGACCCUGAGCUAUUAAUUUUUUGUUUGAGUUUCUUAUUCCGUUCAGUCAACAAAGCAUGUGCAUUUUGUGUAAUUCUUUCAUGGGCUUCAUGUGUAAUGCAGCAACAAGAAGCAGCAAUGCAGGAGGCACCAUUAGAAAACAACAUGACAAUUGUGAGGGUGCACACUGGCUUACCAUCUGAGGCUGUGUCAGCAGUUGAGGAAAAAGAGGAAGUUGUCCCGAUGACCAUCGAUGCACCUUCUCACAGAGCUACGCUGCAACAUCCUCUACCUGCGGUUGUUGGUCUUACAAGGCGUCCCUGCUAUGGAUGGAUCAGUGAGUCUGAGAGUGAUUCAGACUAUGAAGAACAUUUUGGUAAUCGGCAACAUGAGGCGCCUGUCCCAACUCCAGGAGGAGACCGGCUUUGCAAGAAGAAGCGGCCAAGUAGAUGGGAUGUGAAGUGAAGUGCAGCACUUAACAGGUAAUGUUUUUAAUAUCCGAUCUUACUUUGUUAUCAGUAAGUUGGUAUUAGUAGCCAAAUUACUAUGAGUAGUCAGUUAUUUCGUAUCUAUUAUUAUUAUUAUCCUUAUACUUUUGAUUAGGCAAAAUACUUGAUUAUGUUUUCCUUAGUUACUACCAGAAAAGUAUCAUUUAGAUAAAACUGAACGGUAAAUGUGUAUGACAUUGAGUAUGUAAAAACUUGGACGGUAUAUAUGUGUGGCCAACAAAGAAUGAGGCAUACAUCAUUCGAGAUGGGUUGGUCAGAAUGAUGAGAUUGGCUCACAACAUAAUUCAUCAUGGUGCUAAUAAUAGUAACGGAGCUGGACAGUUUUUUGUUGUAUUCGAUCUUUCUGUUGUAUGGAAAUAGAAAGGUCUAUACCAACCUGGCUUUGUUAAUCUCCACUAGAUUUGCGAGGGCAUCAUGUAGAAGUGUUAGAAAUCAUAUUAAAAGGACAGAUAAAAACAUUUUUGGGUUCAUAGGUAUGAAUUUAUGGCUUUAUAUUAUUGAUAUUUUUAUUACAAAUAAUUAUCUAAGCUUUUCUCUCACCUUGUACACAGGAAAGAUGGACACUUAAUAUAUAUCCUACACUUUUGUCGCUUGGAGUUUCAUUUGAAUGCUUGUCUAAAGUAGCCUAAUACAUCUAAAUCGAAAUUGUUCUAAAAACCAAGGCAAUACCAUCAUAAUACCAAGUACUCGAACCAAGCACAAUUUUUCCCUAUAACAUGAAGAGCGUGGCAAAAGCAUAUGUUUUAGCACAAUUAAUAAAUGAUGUAUACAAUCAGAGGUGUCAUAGCAGGGUCAAACAAACAUGUUAUAAAUUCUUCCACCAAUGCAAAAGGUCCAAUAAUUGCCAGUUAAAAAUAGUAAUGUGAUUAGGUAAGUACAUAUGGUGCAUGUACAUGUGGUUCUCCAGGGAAACGAAAAGAGAUACAUGCAAAAAGAAAAAGUCAAGCAGAGGGGCUACAUAUUCCAAAACAUGUUGCCAAGCAAACUUAAUAUUACAAAUUUUAUGAAACUGAAGAGAGCAAGAAUGAUGAAUCCGACAACAAUUCAAAGAAAAAAAAAACUGGUGGUUUUCUUCCUGAAAAACAAAAAUCUUGAUGGCUACAUUAUUUACUCAAAUAGCAACCUAAUGCAUCAUUCUUAAUACUCCUGUGUAAAUAUAGAGUAUAGGCUUUGACCGUAAUAUUUUUGUACAAUAUAUAUUUUUGUUGAUGGUUACAACGUAGUUUCCUUCUGUACAUGUGCACAUGGAUUAUAUUUAUAUUUCUAACAUGCAGCUUGCUUCAUAAAGUAUCUUGUAUGACUCUAUUGAGGAGGAUUCUACUUGGCAUGUAGUCAAUCAAGAUUAAGAAAUACAUGAAAGAAUAUUAGAGUUGGUUAAAAAACAUGUGACAAAAGAUUCAGUUUGGUUAACAUUAAAGAAAAGUAAAGUCAUAUAUCCUUGCAUGUGCCUAUGAGAGAUAUAAAAGAAGAGAAACAAUAAGGUACAUAAGAGACAGUAAAAACAUUCGAGUUGGUUUAGAUGUGAUGUGGCCGAGUUUGAUUAACAUGCGAGACUUAUCGAUUUUGCUGCUGUGUUGAAUUGGUAACACGGGUCCACGCCAAAUCGUGGAUACAGUCACCAAGAUCUCAUUAUUUUAUGUACUAAGGUCAUCUGCAAAGAUUGGCUCUUAAUUGGCUCUAGAAAUUUGAUGAUGCAUGUGGAGAAAAGAAGAAUAAGAGAGAGAAAAGAACCUACUCCUUGGUGAAGGGUCUGACUCUUAGCAAAGAGACAACUAAGAAUCGACAUUUUUAGUAUUGUACAUCAUCACAAUUAAUCCUAACAAAAUCAUCUAGUGUCAGUUUAAAGAUCCAACCAAAUAUGUGUGUUAUUUUACUAUCGACAAUAGGUGACAUGGAGAGUGACACUGACUCUACCAAUGGAUGUCCUAACAGAAAGAGGAUUUGCCACAUUAAUAGCUAGAGUUUUUUUAAGUAACUUUUGCAUGUUUUUUUUUCAAGUUAACACAAGCUGUAUCACAACACAUGCCGGAAUGUGUAUGAAACCUGGGCACGUGUAGUUAGUGAGAGAAGAGAACUGACUUUUUCUUCAAGGGUCUGACUCUUAACCAAGAGUUAACUAAGAUUCAUCAUUUUUACUAUUAUACACCGUCACAUAUAAUCCUAACAAAUCAUCUAGAGUUAGUUUAAUGACUCAAUCAAUUAUAUGUGUUACUUUACUGUUGACAACAGGUGACAUGGAGAGUGAACAGACUCUACCAUUGUGGAUGUCAUGUUUUUUUUUUUUGUAAAUUUUGCAAAAAAGAAUCUUCAAGUUAACUCAAGCAAUAUGAUGCCAAAUACCAGAAUAUGUACGUCACCUGGAUCAGGCACAUCUAGUUAGUGUCCAGAGUUACAUGAUGCGAUUAUUCCAUAUGACCAUGAUAAUACAAAAACCACAUAAUACUUUACAGUCUCAUCUUGAAAUCACCAAAUUAACAUGGAAUAUUUUUUCAUACGAAUCAUCUUGUCCAACAAAUUCGCGGCAUCCUAUCAAACCCCAAAUCAAAAGCAUGUGCAAGAUACCUCGAGGCUUCACGAUGGAGAUGUAGCUAAUACCCAUCUGACACCCGUCAUACACUGCUGCAUCCUAUAAGAUCCCCAAUCACAAGCAUGCAACAUACCUCGAGGCUUCAGGAUGGAGUCUAGCUGGGCACAAAGUGGAUGGUCCUGGUGGACACAUCGAUCGCCCACUGACCAUGCAUGUUGAGCAUCAAGUAUGUGUGCGUUUUGCGCAUGGAUACGAUGGCCAGCGAGCGCGCAAGCAUACAGCCGUGGGCACCAGAGGAAAUGUUCGCAGAGUCAGAGACGGUACCCAGCGCGCCGUGAUGGAGUCCACGGCAAUGGCAAUCCAAAAUUAGAUCAAGGGUUAGAGACGAGUGCCUUAUGUGGCAUCGGUGGGUAAUGUUUUUUCAGUUCUGAAGGCGGAUAGUAUUGUCUUAGAUCUAACGGUUGCAAUUUUGUAACCCAUCAAAUUGACGGCCAGAUAUUUUGCUUUUUUAUGAGAUUUUCUAGGUCUAUCUUUUUUCUGGUUGUUCUGGCAUGUACUUUUAAUAUAUAUAAUAGAUGCCAAUACAAUCAUGCUAAUGGAGGUUGAUAUCCAUUGAGUUGUUAAUCUCCAUGCUAGGAAGUCUAAACGGAGCUUUGAAAAACUUGUUGCCUUGUUUGAAACCCUAACCGGCGCUCUUUUGUUAUGACAGGAGAUGAGGCUGAUGCAAGUUCACAGCAAAGAGUGGUGGCAGUGGCUAGUUGAUGUGGUCUGAAGAACUAACUGAAUUUGCAGCCGUACUGUAAUGCUAUGCUAGUAUAUACAUAUAUGUGUAGUAAUCUGGAGAAAUGGGUUUGCAGUGGUAAUGUGACCCUAGUAGUAUAUUCUGCGUGAAGAAUGUAAGAUCGGCAUGGCUGUUGUUGGUUAAUUAGGUAAUUUGACUCUAAUGUUUGUCUGGAUCAUGACCCCUGCGUUAGUUUGGCUUGGCUGGAUGUCUUGAACGCAUUUGGGUUCUGGCUGAUCUGUUGUUAGCAGAGCUAUCUAAGAGAUCAUGUGGCUUUAUGUAUUUUUAAUCAUGCAUGCAUGUUACGUAACUUGCCUGCAGCUGCUGUGUCCAUAAACAUGCCUGUUGCUUGUGUUUUGUCCUGGUCUUAAAAUAGCGUAAGAAAAAGACCAUGAUGACUCCAAAUCCUUGUCAAGAUGACAUGUGGUAUCCAGACAAAGCCUCGAGUUUGGCAGGAUGGAAAAAUCUAGCAUGUUUGGUCCAUGGUCACGUAUUAGCGGCUGUGGUCUGUGGAGCUAGAGGAUUGAGAGGAUGGCGAGAUAAUGCUGAAGCCCGGCCAGAAUUACUGGGAAUUGGUGAUGCUGUCACAUUGGAGCCGAACCUGGCAGUGGCUGGUGCGAAGGUCCUUGCGGAUAAACCAAAAGGGUCAAAUUCAACCGAAACGAAACUUGAGGACAACGCCAAGAAUUUCCUGGACACGGUGGCGGUGUGAGCCACGGCACAUGCAGCCGAUUUGCGUCCACUCCGAGUCUCCGCGUCGGCAAACUUGCAGAAUGCGACGGCGAAGCGAAUGUUGGUGAAUUCGGUCUGUACGCCAAGGGAUUGUUGAGUGUAGCGCGGUCCAUGAACCAUGCAUAGGGGCACGGAGCUGAGCAGCGGAAGUAACAACAAGAGUUAGGAUCGAGGCGAAUUUGAUACUACGAAGCAGCAUGUAAGCGAGAGGUUUUGAGAGAUAUCUAGUGAGACUUUCUCUUUUUACGGGAUAUCUAGUGAGAGAGCUUACCACACUUGUAUGCACGGCUCCACAUUAUAUAUGGUGCACAGUUAGCAACAAAAGUUUGUGGUAAAUUUGAUAGCAUGCAAGGAUGAAGCCAACAUAAGCCUCCGAUGGGACCAGCUUAAUUUAGACUAUGACUUCAACAAUUUGUUUUUUUAUAAAAUUGAUAUACUAUAAUGCACGAGGAGCGAAUGUUCGCUCCUCAGGUCCUGUUUGUUUGGACUUCUGCUUCAGCUUUUGGAUGAAGUAGAAACCCAAACAAACAAGGCCUUAAACCGCGACGGGAUAAAGUUGUCACCUCCACAUAAAUAAAUUUGCCACCGCAUCGAGACUAAUGUUACCACCUCCACUUAACUGCCACUUGUGCGGGACAAGUUGCCAUUACGGCUCCACUAAAGUUGUCUGCGGAACAUGAAGCGAUUGCAACCACAUCUUCCAUGUUGGACGAUUAGUCGGGCAUUCGCUCCAAGAGGCUAGGGAGCGGACGUCCGGUCCUUAUUAUUUUCGCAAGGUUUAUCUAAUCUCGUCGGGUCUGCUCUUUACCUAAAUAGAAACUUGUGGUUUAUGAACCAAACAUAACAUUAGCUGGAACGAUUAGUGGGGCUUUCUUUGUCAACGUACACCAACAUGAAUUCAAUAAGAAAUAUUUGUUUUCAUGAAGGAAAGGAAGAACAAAAAGAGAAAGAUUUGCUUUCAUGAAAUUUAGCUCAUGCUAAUCUCUUCCAUGAGGUAAUUAAACUAAUCUCUUCCAUUAGGUGUUGUCAGUUCACCAAUUGCCUGGAUUUUUUUAAAAUAUAAACAUUUCCUAGUUUUCGGGAUCAGUCAACACUGACCAUCAUCGUCUCCAAAUCACUAUAAACUUAGAUAGCACUAAAGUUUGCACUAACAUUUUAUCAGUUGUUGUUCUUCUAGAAAACAACAGGAGUACGGGGUGUCAAUGCAUGAUGGCACAAAUGCGAGAAUAAGGUGUAGAGGGUGUACGCCGGCCUUAUAGCAAAGGUCGCCGUACACUUGGGACAAGUUGACACGUCGAUAUUUUUUGAAUAGGUUCGGUCGAUCCUGCGGGUACGACUUAGUCCUAUGUUAGGGGAGGCUUCGAGGGGGUCGUUAGCCAAGCGCUUGAGCCGAACUCGUCUUCCCAAAUCGCCUAUAGCGAGAGAUCUCUAGGGGCCGCCUCAGACUUGGGCCGAACUUGUCUUCCCAAGUAGCGAGGUUGGGAUACCCUCGAGACUCUAACCCGAUCCUCUACUUCGAGUUGAGGUCGUACUAGACGGCCCGGAACCUCGAAACUAGGCUUCCCAAGUUGCGUCCUCGAGGUCGAGUCGAGACUAGGCUCGACCCAAGCACUCGAGAGCGGGCUCCUUGAGUUGCUCUAGCCCUCUCCCCUUUGAUCUUAUUUCAAUGGAGAGCGAAUGAUACAUGCCCCCAUGGGGCGGUAUUUAUAGCCUAGGGGUCCAUGACAAAAGACCAUCGCUAUCCUUGAGGGAGGAGGAAAGUGAGGGUAAAGCGGUAAAUCCACUCCUAGAGUUUUCUUGCUCCCUACUCUAGCUCCUUUGACCAUGGCGUGGGGGGUUUGACCCUUUGACUCCUUUGACCGAUGCUUAGUUGGCAUGGCUAUGCCUUGUCGGCAAUUUGACCGGUCUUUGGGAUUUGUUGACUUGGUCGAUGUCACGUAGGAUCGCGGCCCGGUCCAUGUAAGGAUUUUGAACUUGCACCAUCUUCAAAGACUUGCAAAUCUAACUGUUGAAAAUUCGAAAAAGCAAAAUGCCCACAAAGAUUCGCCGCAAAGGCAAAGCGCCUCAGGGCAUCUCCAAUGGUCCAGCGAAGUAGGUACUAAGCAGGUGCCAGUGGGAUGCCACAUCAGUGAAAGAUGACGUGGAAGCAAACUUUAGGUGUGAGAAGAUGAAACGGUUACUCGGAGGAGAAACGAUACAAUCUCUUGUACCAAGACGAAAGUAACGGCGAAAACGCCGUUGGAGCAGUACUAAUACCUGCAGCCGUGCAUGUAGUAGGACCCAUCGAAAAGUACAGGAUCAGUUGCAUCGAGCAACGCCGGAGGCUUGCCUUCCCGCACAGCUACCUCCGAAGUUCCGAUAAAAUUAAAAAUUUCUUUCGUGGGCUGCUGCAAUCCCAUGGCUCCACAUGCACUGUCUGCUAGUAGCGUGCUCCUCUUUUCAUUGUUCGGAGAUUUUUUUUAUGUGGUUUCUCUAUUCAAUAUACAUCUCUCCUCACCAACUAAUCUUGGGUGGUUAAAAGUUGAUCGAUUUUGCACUACUGGAAAAUAUUUGCGUUUGUGCAUCUGCUCCGUUCUUUCAACGAUUUAACUAGUUUCUAGAUGAAUGUAUAUCUAGGCCACAAAGUUAUAAUGCACAGUGAAUUAGCCAAAAUAAUCACACAGGACAAUAAUUAAAUAGUCUUGCAGAUCUUAGUAACAGAGAAAAGAAAAUCCCAUUGAGCAAUCGUUACUAGUAUAUUAUUUUUUACUAGCAAAAGAACCCGUGCGUUGCUACGGAACAACGAUAAAUUAUAUCAAAACGUCAAAUUAAAUGUUGAUGUGUUUAUGAUAUGUUUAUUUUCGCGGGCUAUACUCUGGUCUCUUUCUUUUUUUCAGAUGUCUUAUUUAUAUAUUUCUUCUUGCCUUGUUCUUCUAUUACUCUUACUCCGUACAUUAUUUCUCAAAUCUCUUCUCCCAAUUUCUCGCUCUCACUCUGACUAUCCUCUCCAUCCACCCUAAGUGCAAACUCCUCCUCUCCCCGUCCCGCUUCAUCUCGCCGCCGAACAUCAUGCCGCCAUGUGCGGCCGCCCGCUUGUAGAUUCCCGCCGCCUGUCCACUCCCGCGCGCCGUCUGCUCCCACUUGCCGCUAGGUACGCUUGUGUGCCGCCCCCACAUCGCGUCCGGACACUGAUCUCCGCGUGCCACUGCCCGUCCGGAGGGCCACCGAUGGCUCGCGCCGACGCGGUCCCUGCUGCCUUGCGCGAGGCCACCGCCAUCCCGACCUGAGGCUCAUCCCAUCGCCGUUCAAGUCCCACGGGGAGCCAUUGGCGCGCACGAGCCGGUGGAGGCGGCGGUCGGAGCGCGCGAAGGAGCCGCGGGUCCGCAGCCGCCUUCCACACACGGACGCCGCCGACGCGCACGAGCUGGUGUAGGUGACAAGAGCGGCGGCAGGCGUGGGCAAGAUCCGGAUCGGGCAGAAGGCGGGGGUGAGAUUUGUAGGAGAAGAGGAGGAGCGAGGAGAGCUCUGUUGGUUUUUUUUUGACGGUACGUGUUUUUUCUGUGCUUGAGAAGACAUCGGUGACAGAUUCGUAAUUUCGGUGAAGCGACGUACCACCGCGCGACCGCCAACUACAAUUUAAUAUAUUGUUAUAGAUUUAUAUUACCAACGUUAGCAUAAGCCGAUUGAAGUUGCCCUCAUAUCCGGAAUGAUCGUACUUUGUCGUACUUUAAAACUCCGGCAAAAUUAUUUCCCCUCUCGACAGCAGCGGCGGCGACCCACCGGCCGCCGGAGAUGGGAGCCGCCGCAAAGCCCGCUCCCUUCGUCUGCUUCAAGUGGCCGUGGGGCCCCAGCCUCAACGCGAGCCCUAACCCCAGCCUCAGCCCGAGCCCGAGCCCAAGCCCCUGCGGCGACCUCGAGCUCCCCUGGCUCUUCAAGUCCAUCCGCACCGUGGCGCAGGGCCUCCUCAUCGCGGGCGACCUCCCUUCCCCCAGCGGCGGCGACGGGUCGAGGC